CAUUCAUGGUCCGAGGGCAGGUUCACCUGGAAUUGAGAGUUCCCAUCGCUGGCUGAGUCCUCACUGCCAAAAGUCCCAACUCACCAACCAAAUCUGGAUUCAUAACCAAGUGUUCUGAGUCACCGUGCUGCUCAGGAGCAUGAAGGGCUGGAGGAGGGGGUGGCAGCAGCUCGGUGGUCCCCGUCAGCCCCCACGCACCCCAAGCUGUGCCCCACACCUUCAGCACAGGACGUUCUCCGUUGGGAUUACAGCCCACUCCAGAACUCCGAGAUUCAAUCUGUGUGUGCAAUCUGCAUCUCUGAAAGGAGCCUGGAGCCAUCCUGCAGGAGCACCCAGGAGUCUCCAUCACCUUUUGCUGGGAGCUACAGAAAUGCAGCGUGAAAAUGCAGCUGUGGUGGCAGAGCUGAGAACUUCACGUGGAGGCACGAGCCGGCAGAUGGGAGGAUCUGGUGGGCUGAGGAGCACGGCGAAGCAGCGAGACAGCAGUGCCUGCCACAGCAGGCAAGAGCAGUCCAACCUGGGGGGGUUGCUGGAAAA
Molecule: long non-coding RNA, 537 nt
Organism: Lonchura striata (white-rumped munia)
Lineage: Eukaryota; Metazoa; Chordata; Aves; Passeriformes; Estrildidae
Source: RefSeq, a predicted model, not a curated record